GGUUAAGCGACUAAGCGUACACGGUGGAUGCCCUGGCAGUCAGAGGCGAUGAAGGACGUGCUAAUCUGCGAUAAGCGUCGGUAAGGUGAUAUGAACCGUUAUAACCGGCGAUUUCCGAAUGGGGAAACCCAGUGUGAUUCGUCACACUAUCAUUAACUGAAUCCAUAGGUUAAUGAGGCGAACCGGGGGAACUGAAACAUCUAAGUACCCCGAGGAAAAGAAAUCAACCGAGAUUCCCCCAGUAGCGGCGAGCGAACGGGGAGCAGCCCAGAGCCUGAAUCAGUGUGUGUGUUAGUGGAAGCGUCUGGAAAGGCGCGCGAUACAGGGUGACAGCCCCGUACACAAAAAUGCACAUACUGUGAGCUCGAUGAGUAGGGCGGGACACGUGGUAUCCUGUCUGAAUAUGGGGGGACCAUCCUCCAAGGCUAAAUACUCCUGACUGACCGAUAGUGAACCAGUACCGUGAGGGAAAGGCGAAAAGAACCCCGGCGAGGGGAGUGAAAAAGAACCUGAAACCGUGUACGUACAAGCAGUGGGAGCCUCUUUAUGGGGUGACUGCGUACCUUUUGUAUAAUGGGUCAGCGACUUAUAUUCUGUAGCAAGGUUAACCGAAUAGGGGAGCCGAAGGGAAACCGAGUCUUAACUGGGCGUUAAGUUGCAGGGUAUAGACCCGAAACCCGGUGAUCUAGCCAUGGGCAGGUUGAAGGUUGGGUAACACUAACUGGAGGACCGAACCGACUAAUGUUGAAAAAUUAGCGGAUGACUUGUGGCUGGGGGUGAAAGGCCAAUCAAACCGGGAGAUAGCUGGUUCUCCCCGAAAGCUAUUUAGGUAGCGCCUCGUGAAUUCAUCUCCGGGGGUAGAGCACUGUUUCGGCAAGGGGGUCAUCCCGACUUACCAACCCGAUGCAAACUGCGAAUACCGGAGAAUGUUAUCACGGGAGACACACGGCGGGUGCUAACGUCCGUCGUGAAGAGGGAAACAACCCAGACCGCCAGCUAAGGUCCCAAAGUCAUGGUUAAGUGGGAAACGAUGUGGGAAGGCCCAGACAGCCAGGAUGUUGGCUUAGAAGCAGCCAUCAUUUAAAGAAAGCGUAAUAGCUCACUGGUCGAGUCGGCCUGCGCGGAAGAUGUAACGGGGCUAAACCAUGCACCGAAGCUGCGGCAGCGACACUAUGUGUUGUUGGGUAGGGGAGCGUUCUGUAAGCCUGUGAAGGUGUGCUGUGAGGCAUGCUGGAGGUAUCAGAAGUGCGAAUGCUGACAUAAGUAACGAUAAAGCGGGUGAAAAGCCCGCUCGCCGGAAGACCAAGGGUUCCUGUCCAACGUUAAUCGGGGCAGGGUGAGUCGACCCCUAAGGCGAGGCCGAAAGGCGUAGUCGAUGGGAAACAGGUUAAUAUUCCUGUACUUGGUGUUACUGCGAAGGGGGGACGGAGAAGGCUAUGUUGGCCGGGCGACGGUUGUCCCGGUUUAAGCGUGUAGGCUGGUUUUCCAGGCAAAUCCGGAAAACUAAGGCUGAGGCGUGAUGACGAGGCACUACGGUGCUGAAGCAACAAAUGCCCUGCUUCCAGGAAAAGCCUCUAAGCAUCAGGUAACAUCAAAUCGUACCCCAAACCGACACAGGUGGUCAGGUAGAGAAUACCAAGGCGCUUGAGAGAACUCGGGUGAAGGAACUAGGCAAAAUGGUGCCGUAACUUCGGGAGAAGGCACGCUGAUAUGUAGGUGAAGCGACUUGCUCGUGGAGCUGAAAUCAGUCGAAGAUACCAGCUGGCUGCAACUGUUUAUUAAAAACACAGCACUGUGCAAACACGAAAGUGGACGUAUACGGUGUGACGCCUGCCCGGUGCCGGAAGGUUAAUUGAUGGGGUUAGCGGUAACGCGAAGCUCUUGAUCGAAGCCCCGGUAAACGGCGGCCGUAACUAUAACGGUCCUAAGGUAGCGAAAUUCCUUGUCGGGUAAGUUCCGACCUGCACGAAUGGCGUAAUGAUGGCCAGGCUGUCUCCACCCGAGACUCAGUGAAAUUGAACUCGCUGUGAAGAUGCAGUGUACCCGCGGCAAGACGGAAAGACCCCGUGAACCUUUACUAUAGCUUGACACUGAACAUUGAGCCUUGAUGUGUAGGAUAGGUGGGAGGCUUUGAAGUGUGGACGCCAGUCUGCAUGGAGCCGACCUUGAAAUACCACCCUUUAAUGUUUGAUGUUCUAACGUUGACCCGUGAUCCGGGUUGCGGACAGUGUCUGGUGGGUAGUUUGACUGGGGCGGUCUCCUCCUAAAGAGUAACGGAGGAGCACGAAGGUUGGCUAAUCCUGGUCGGACAUCAGGAGGUUAGUGCAAUGGCAUAAGCCAGCUUGACUGCGAGCGUGACGGCGCGAGCAGGUGCGAAAGCAGGUCAUAGUGAUCCGGUGGUUCUGAAUGGAAGGGCCAUCGCUCAACGGAUAAAAGGUACUCCGGGGAUAACAGGCUGAUACCGCCCAAGAGUUCAUAUCGACGGCGGUGUUUGGCACCUCGAUGUCGGCUCAUCACAUCCUGGGGCUGAAGUAGGUCCCAAGGGUAUGGCUGUUCGCCAUUUAAAGUGGUACGCGAGCUGGGUUUAGAACGUCGUGAGACAGUUCGGUCCCUAUCUGCCGUGGGCGCUGGAGAACUGAGGGGGGCUGCUCCUAGUACGAGAGGACCGGAGUGGACGCAUCACUGGUGUUCGGGUUGUCAUGCCAAUGGCACUGCCCGGUAGCUAAAUGCGGAAGAGAUAAGUGCUGAAAGCAUCUAAGCACGAAACUUGCCCCGAGAUGAGUUCUCCCUGACUCCCUGAGAGUCCUGAAGGAACGUUGAAGACGACGACGUUGAUAGGCCGGGUGUGUAAGCGCAGCGAUGCGUUGAGCUAACCGGUACUAAUGAACCGUGAGGCUUAACCUU
RNAcentral lists this ribosomal RNA (2904 nucleotides) under Escherichia coli. RNAcentral's name for it is "23S ribosomal RNA". It matches the Rfam family "Bacterial large subunit ribosomal RNA". Lineage: Bacteria; Pseudomonadati; Pseudomonadota; Gammaproteobacteria; Enterobacterales; Enterobacteriaceae. The record is from RNAcentral.